UGAUGUAUCUUGGAUAAUAGAUCAGUGAAGAAGUGUCUCUCUUUCUCUCUCUAAAUUCUAUUGAUUCUCUCCCUAUUCUUUGUUCUUCCUGUUCUUGUGUUCCUGUAGCUGGAAAAUCAUGUAACAGGAUGUACGCUUACAGCUUGUGUGAAUUGGCUAGAUUGUGGUGGAGCACUGGAGCUGCGCAGAGAAAGAAAUUUCGGGAAAAGAAACGGGGAUGGGAAGAACUGAGGAAGCAAGGCUGCAAGGGUUUAUGGAGGGAUAGAAGGAGGGUAAGAGUUCUUCCAAACGCAGUUGUUUCAUCUUAUUUCGUUUCGGCUCCGUUGAACAGAAAAUUUUCUUUAAAUCCGUCGCUAAUUGCCCAGAUUUCUUUCCUCUCAUUUCCAGUUUCAGUUCAGGUAUGCUAUUUUAUUGUCAUGGAUAAUUGCAGCACAAUCCAUUAACCAAUUAUAACAGUGCUAAUUCUGCUUCAAUUGUUGAAAAACCCUGGAGUUUUUAUUCAGACAUUAUUGAUUAUAUGUUAUUGAAAUUCACAUUCCAAGCUAAUUUUCGAUGAACCCACCUGAAGCAGCAGGUGAUUUUGCAACUGAAACACAACUUGCAUGAACUUUUUCACUCUUCACCAAAUAAUGUAACAAUCGGGCCCUGAAAUCUGGACCAUGAGCAAUGUAGUUCACAAAUUUGUAAUGGCAAUUCUUUCCCAUCAGAAGAAGUAGAUAGCAGCAUUCAUCAGUAACAAUCCCACUCCCAAAAACUGCAUCGAAUAUCUCUUUUCCGCACGCUGGAGUAAUAUGCUUUGCACAUUCAUCCAAGAACUUGAACAAUCCUGGCCUUGAAACUGGCUCCUGCAAUGGUGUAGAAACACCAAAAUCAAUAGCAACUGUGAGUAUUGGAGAGAUUAGAAAUACUCCACUAGCCAAGAUCAGUGCUAAGAUGAUGGAAAAGUUGUUGAGUCCUUCCAUGUUUAUUCACGCCAAGAAAACUUCUUGAAGAUAAAUGAACUUGAUUAAGGAUUUAAGAGUGAUUUAUAGGGCUUAAGAGGUUGUGUAUGUUUG
This 1055-nucleotide unclassified non-coding RNA is filed under the name Hevea brasiliensis (rubber tree). Lineage: Eukaryota; Viridiplantae; Streptophyta; Magnoliopsida; Malpighiales; Euphorbiaceae. The record is from RNAcentral.